GGAGAGAUGGCAGAGUGGUCGAAUGCGGCGGUCUUGAAAACCGUUGACCGCGUGAGUGGUCCGGGGGUUCGAAUCCCUCUCUCUCCGCCA
This 90-nucleotide transfer RNA is filed under the name Prolixibacteraceae bacterium. RNAcentral describes it as "tRNA-Ser". It matches the Rfam family "tRNA". From Rfam's summary of the family: Transfer RNA (tRNA) molecules are approximately 80 nucleotides in length. Their secondary structure includes four short double-helical elements and three loops (D, anti-codon, and T loops). Further hydrogen bonds mediate the characteristic L-shaped molecular structure. tRNAs have two regions of fundamental functional importance: the anti-codon, which is responsible for specific mRNA codon recognition, and the 3' end, to which the tRNAs corresponding amino acid is attached (by aminoacyl-tRNA synthetases). tRNAs cope with the degeneracy of the genetic code in two manners: having more than one tRNA (with a specific anti-codon) for a particular amino acid; and 'wobble' base-pairing, i.e. permitting non-standard base-pairing at the 3rd anti-codon position. The record is from RNAcentral. Lineage: Bacteria; Pseudomonadati; Bacteroidota; Bacteroidia; Marinilabiliales; Prolixibacteraceae.